GAUGAACGCUGGCGGCGUGCUUAACACAUGCAAGUCGAACGGUGAAGCAGAGCUUGCUCUGUGGAUCAGUGGCGAACGGGUGAGUAACACGUGAGCAACCUGCCCCUGACUCUGGGAUAAGCGCUGGAAACGGCGUCUAAUACUGGAUAUGAGCUGCGACCGCAUGGUCAGCAGUUGGAAAGAUUUUUCGGUCUGGGAUGGGCUCACGGCCUAUCAGCUUGUUGGUGAGGUAAUGGCUCACCAAGGCGUCGACGGGUAGCCGGCCUGAGAGGGUGACCGGCCACACUGGGACUGAGACACGGCCCAGACUCCUACGGGAGGCAGCAGUGGGGAAUAUUGCACAAUGGGCGAAAGCCUGAUGCAGCAACGCCGCGUGAGGGAUGACGGCCUUCGAGUUGUAAACCUCUUUUAGCAGGGAAGAAGCGAAAGUGACGGUACCUGCAGAAAAAGCGCCGGCUAACUACGUG
Molecule: ribosomal RNA, 467 nt
Filed under: uncultured bacterium
Lineage: Bacteria
Description: partial 16S ribosomal RNA
Rfam family: Bacterial small subunit ribosomal RNA
Source: RNAcentral